This is a long non-coding RNA of Nothobranchius furzeri (turquoise killifish), 1286 nucleotides long. RefSeq lists it as uncharacterized. The record is from RefSeq and is a predicted model, not a curated record. NCBI's taxonomy places the organism in Eukaryota, Metazoa, Chordata, Actinopteri, Cyprinodontiformes, Nothobranchiidae.
CCCCAUUCAAAUCUUGGUUGAUUGGAAAUCCCAAAUCUGUUUACAUGGACACUAACUGAAAUGAUCCAAUCACGCCGUGAGUUUCUAUGCACCAAUAUUACGUCCCCCGGCUCGCUAGGAGAUGUGGGAUUGAGGGAGUAAUGAUGUGUGUUAAAACAAUGAACAUAAACCCAGAGUGUUCGUUGGAGGAGAUUUUUAUUAAGAGCUUUCCUGAUUGUCCUCUAGCUCCCGGUGGAAGGAGGAAAAGGAACAAAAGUAUACAAACAAAACAAAAGUAACAAUGAAUAAUAAUUAAUCAAAGAACUGAAAGCGCCGGAUCAAAGGACCGGUAUAAUAGAACUCAACCGAGGAGAUAUAAUCCCAAACCAAACUCCAGACGAAAAGCUGAGCAGCCCUUUUACCAGGGCUCAGACACACAAAUUUACUAUGAGGUUCUCAAUAACCUAACCGAGUGUAUUCAAGCCUCAAAUAAGAUAACAGUGAAGGGGGAGAAAAGAGUAGUGAGGACACCUCUGUGUCACCACUUCUCAGAGCCUUCCCCCAUCCAAUCCUAGGUUCACCUCAUUUAACAGGGUGAGGUGAUUCCUAAAUGAGGAUCAACUGGUCAAAACUACGGAACGCCUGUAGAUGGGAGCUGUUGGUGGUGCUGCUGAGGCCAUCUAGUGGCCUGUAGCGGCAGUGACUGCAACAACCAAGUAUUAAUCAGAUUAAAUAGGUUGAGCAAGUGCAGAGUUGUCUUUCCCGGAAAAAAAAUGUAAACUAAUAUCAUGUAGCGAAAUGAAAACUGUAAAAACUGAAAAAACAAUUGCUGCUUUCCUGGUUCAUUUUUUCUAUUUAAAGUGCAUGUCAAGUGUGCCUCAGAGUCUUACCCCACCCACGUAUCAAUUUUGAAAACUGCAACAUUAGUAGGCGUUGCCUGGAGGACCGAGAGGGCGGAGCCGUGGCAGUGACGAAGAGACGGCUAACUAGACGAAGCUAGCUCCCUUCACUCUGAGCAGUCAUUAGAAGUGGAGGACGUUUCUCCCCCUCCUUACCCAGACACUCGAGAAGAAAGGGACCAAGUCUAUUUGGAGGAGACAAGCGGACAUGAGCCUUAUUGUUUUGAGCUUGUGAGUUGCCUGAAAUUACUGGAACCGACCCAACAGACCCAUCUCUGAACGUGAUCCUCUGGUGUCUGCAGCUGGUCUCCUGCUGAUGUCGUCGGGAUCAGGAACUUCCAGAAGAAUGUGCCUUUCAAUGACUCUUUCCCCCUUAUUUGUUAUAUUAAUUAAAUAAAUCUCAAUUUA